AACGAACGCUGGCGGCAUGCCUAACACAUGCAAGUCGAACGAGACCUUCGGGUCUAGUGGCGCACGGGUGCGUAACGCGUGGGAACCUGCCCUUAGGUUCGGAAUAACUCCCCGAAAGGGGUGCUAAUACCGGAUAAUGUCUUCGGACCAAAGAUUUAUCGACUUUGGAUGGGCCCGCGUUGGAUUAGCUAGUUGGUAGGGUAAAAGCCUACCAAGGCGACGAUCCAUAGCUGGUCAGAGAGGAUGAUCAGCCACACUGGGGCUGAGACACGGCCGAGACUCCUACGGGAGGCGGCAGUGGGGAAUAUUGGAAAAUGGGCGAAGGCCUGAUCCAGCAAGGCCGCGUGAGUGAUGAAGGCCGUAGGGUUGUAAAGCUCUUUUACCCGGGAUGAUAAUGACGGUACCGAGAGAAUAAGCUCCGGCUAACUCCGUG
This 433-nucleotide ribosomal RNA is filed under the name uncultured bacterium. RNAcentral describes it as "partial 16S ribosomal RNA". It matches the Rfam family "Bacterial small subunit ribosomal RNA", at positions 29 to 507 of the family's 1533-position model. The record is from RNAcentral.